RNAcentral lists this non-coding RNA (26 nucleotides) under Mus musculus (house mouse). The record is from RNAcentral. Lineage: Eukaryota; Metazoa; Chordata; Mammalia; Rodentia; Muridae.
UACUGCUCAUGUUUGUUAACGUCACC